UUGUCCUCAAACUCAACUCUGUCUCUGUAAAACAGGAAUAAAAACCCCCGCGUGGCACAGAGGGUUUCACGAUGACACCUGAGGCUAAGCUCAGGCAGAGCCUCGUAAAGCAUCACAGACAUUGGAGGUACUGGCGGUGUUUCUGUUGCUGUUGCUUUCCGACUUCCGUUUUCUGUAUUCUCUGCCUCCUCUCCCGCCGAGCAGGCCCACCAUGCCGGCCUCCUGAGCCCUGGAUGUAGCUCAGUGGCCUAUGGGGUCCCAGUCCCCGAGUCCUGUCCACUCUUUCUGCCCAGUGCCUCCUGCUCUUCUAUGCCCAGGGCAAGUAGGGGCUGUGCUCUGGCUUGUCUUUACACACAUACGAGGUGGCAGAGAUUCCUGUUACGGAAUCUCCACCCCACUCUGUCUCUUUAGCAGGGACCAGAAGCUGGGGUGCAAGACGGAGCUAAGAGUCAGCAUUUGGGGCAGAUACUAUGGAAUCUAGCGUUUUUAAGAGUUGAGGCUGUCCUGCAAGCCAAGAACCACUGACAGCGUGGCACAGAUUGACACAGACCACAGCGCGGGAUUCACAGGGAGUACCACCCUCAGCUGAGGAGCUGAAAUAUACUUCCCUCUCCACAGGCAAUGGCCAAUGCCUUCCGAAACCCCUGAGUGCUUCCAGAAUGGCGGUCAAUGUAUAUUUUCUUGCACAAUAGGGCAAAUCCCUGUUGGUUCCUGUUACAGUGGAAGAAAAAUGCAAGCCAGGGCCUGUGACGGGCUGAAGAUCACCCGAGCACAGGGAGCCAGAGAAUGAAAUAGAACACUCACUUUAGCUCUAAAGAUUCUACUGUGCUACCUCUUGAAAAUAAAUAAAUGAGCAGGUGCUGGAUUUAGGAAUGGCGAUUACGACGCAGAAGAGUAUUUGGGAGAGACACAUGUCUAGACGCAGAGAAGGAAGGAAUACUGUGUGUGCAUGAGGAGUAACCUCAGGUUACUUCUCUGAGUCCCGGAGGCUGGAAGUCUGACAUCCGGUUAUCGGCAGGGUUGAUUUGGUUCCUAGAUGGCCGUCUUCUUCCUGCAUCUUUGUGUGUUCAUCCCUUUGUGCAUGUGUGUGUCAGUAUCCAAAUUUCCUUUUCUUAUAAGGACACCAGUCCUACUGAAUCGGGGCCACGUUAACGGCCUCAUUUUAACUUAAUUACCUAUGCACAGACCCUACUUCCAAAUACGGUUACAUUCUGAGGCACUGGGAGUUAGGACUUCCACUUAGGAAUUCGGGUGCACACAAUUCAGCCCUUCCCACGAGGCUUAUCCCUGCAUCUGCAGUUAGCUUCCAGGUCCAUUGUGGGCUGGCUGCUACCAAGGCAAUGCGAAUUGUAGAGCCAUGUGCAAGGUGUCCUGAGGCCUACGUUCAUAACUGGCCCCUUCUGCUGCUUUUAUUGGUCAAAGCAAGUCAAAAGGCCAAUUAGAUUCCUGAGCUGGGGAAACAGACACUACUAGCAGAUGGGAAGAGCUGCAGAGUCAGAUCACAAAGGGUCUGAUUCAGAGGGGGAUUCAGGGCCACAAUGGUGGCCCGCCUCGCUAUCAACCACAAAGAGUAUCCAGGUUCCUUCUGCCUUACGUGCUUUAUGUGUGUGUGAGGGGCUUAACGUAGCUCAGUGUGCCUUGGAAGACCCCGAACACUGUCUUUCAGGCAGAAGAUUCUCUGACAAAAAUCCAUACGGAUCAAAGAUGUGCUUCAGAGCCCGAUCCCAAGAGUUUGAUCAAGCACAGCCCAGGAGCUCUGAUGCCAGUGAAGUAUUAGUUUUAAAAUGUCAUGCAUGACUAGUCGUUGAGGGGAAAAUAAGAAUUUCUGGACUUCUUUAUACUUUUCCAUUUAUAUUGCAUUGAUUAUUGGUUACAGAGAGGGACAGGGACCGAAAAUAUUUUCUGUUUCAAAGGCACCUAAUGGUUUUCAUCUCGACUUUGCCCAUUCCUAGUGACCUGAAAGUCACUUGAGGUGAUUGUGUAUCUAGGGG
This is a long non-coding RNA of Macaca fascicularis (crab-eating macaque), 1991 nucleotides long. NCBI's taxonomy places the organism in Eukaryota, Metazoa, Chordata, Mammalia, Primates, Cercopithecidae. The record is from Ensembl.